GGAAGAUCUUGCUCUAGGUCGUGUCAAUCCAUCGAUAAUGGACAUUAAGAUUGGUUCAAGAACCUGGGCACCCGAAGCAUCCGAGAAAUAUAUUCAGAAGUGCUUAAAAAAAGAUCGAGAAUCGUCAAGCCUUUCAUUAGGAUUCAGAAUAUCGGGGUUGCAAAUCUAUAGAAGCAAAGAACUAGGAUUAUGGAAGCCUGGAAAGAAAGCUGCUCAGAAACUCUCUAGAGAGGAAGUCAAGUUAGUCCUGAGAAGGUUUGUUUCUUCAAACACAUUGAAUGAUUUGGAUUCGAGACCAGACUGCGCUUUCGCAUCAACUGUUUAUGGUGGAUCUACUGGCAUUUUAUCUCAGUUACUGGAGCUGAAAGCUUGGUUUGAGGAUCAAACUAUAUUCCAUUUGUAUUCUUGCUCAAUUCUGGUGAUUUUUGAAAAAGAGUUGGCAUUGAAAGGAAAGAAUCCAGGUGCACAAAUCAAACUGAUUGACUUUGCUCAUGUUUACGAAGGACGAGGUGUCAUUGAUCAUAACUUCUUGGGUGGUCUCUG
RNAcentral lists this unclassified non-coding RNA (543 nucleotides) under Hevea brasiliensis (rubber tree). Lineage: Eukaryota; Viridiplantae; Streptophyta; Magnoliopsida; Malpighiales; Euphorbiaceae. The record is from RNAcentral.